GGAUGUGGGGAUGAGCUGGCUAUGACAUCUGCCACUCCUUUGAUCACCAGAAUUGAUUUGGCUGAUCUGGCUGGGUAGGCAGAUGUCUCCUUCCUCCCUCACUGUUUCAUGUGCAUUCCUCCCAAAUCUGCAUGCCUCAAAGUGGACAAACUUCCCCGAAUAGUCGCAAAGAGAGAGCUAAUUGGGAAUGGCAUGGGAGUAUGGGCAGGGGUCUGUAUUGGCUGUUAUUAACUUCCAGUUCCAGGCAAGUAUAUUAAAAUUCCUUCUCAAAAUAAAAUAAUAAAAAGCAGGGAGGUUAAAUAUAGCCU
Molecule: non-coding RNA, 308 nt
Organism: Mesocricetus auratus (golden hamster)
Lineage: Eukaryota; Metazoa; Chordata; Mammalia; Rodentia; Cricetidae
Source: Rfam